RNAcentral lists this ribosomal RNA (253 nucleotides) under uncultured bacterium. RNAcentral's name for it is "partial 16S ribosomal RNA". It matches the Rfam family "Bacterial small subunit ribosomal RNA", at positions 524 to 776 of the family's 1533-position model. The record is from RNAcentral.
GACGUAGGGCGCGAGCGUUGUCCGGAUUUAUUGGGCGUAAAGAGCCCGUAGGCGGCUUGUCGCGUCGACUGUGAAAACUCGGGGCUCAACUCCGAGCUUGCAGUCGAUACGGGCAGGCUAGAGUUCGGUAGGGGAGACUGGAAUUCCUGGUGUAGCGGUGAAAUGCGCAGAUAUCAGGAGGAACACCGAUGGCGAAGGCAGGUCUCUGGGCCGAUACUGACGCUGAGGAGCGAAAGCGUAGGGAGCGAACAGG